RNAcentral lists this ribosomal RNA (253 nucleotides) under uncultured bacterium. Its description in RNAcentral is "partial 16S ribosomal RNA". It matches the Rfam family "Bacterial small subunit ribosomal RNA", at positions 524 to 776 of the family's 1533-position model. The record is from RNAcentral.
UACAGAGGUGGCAAGCGUUGUUCGGAAUUACUGGGCGUAAAGGGCGCGUAGGCGGUUCGUUAAGUCCUGUGUGAAAUCCCCCGGCUCAACUGGGGAACUGCACAGGAAACUAGCGGGCUUGAGUUCGGGAGAGGGAAGCGAAAUUCCGGGUGUAGCGGUGAAAUGCGUAGAUAUCCGGAGGAACACCGGUGGCGAAGGCGGCUUCCUGGACCGACACUGACGCUGAGGCGCGAAAGCUAGGGGAGCAAACGGG